UGGGAUCAAAACCAAGGCACAUUGAAUUCCUCAUAGUAUCAUCUUUGGGUUACUCAGGAACCAAAACUUUUUACACCGAUUUAAGAAAUUCUGCUAAGGAAUCCCUUUACCUAACCAUCUCACAAGGCUUCAACCCAGAUCCAGAAAAGACCUCUUAAUACGUCAAGAUAGAACCUA
Neotoma lepida (desert woodrat) is the source of this 177-nucleotide long non-coding RNA. It matches the Rfam family "Taurine upregulated gene 1 conserved region 4". From Rfam's summary of the family: TUG1 (taurine upregulated gene 1) is a long non-coding RNA expressed in retina and brain. It was first identified in a screen for genes upregulated by in developing retinal cells in response to taurine. It is required for the normal development of photoreceptors in the retina. The record is from Rfam. Lineage: Eukaryota; Metazoa; Chordata; Mammalia; Rodentia; Cricetidae.